RNAcentral lists this transfer-messenger RNA (383 nucleotides) under Pseudomonadales. RNAcentral describes it as "UBA9926 sp016779565 Standard tmRNA". It matches the Rfam family "transfer-messenger RNA". Rfam says of the family: Bacterial tmRNA, also known as 10Sa RNA or SsrA, is named for its dual tRNA and mRNA-like properties. Its role is to liberate the mRNA from a stalled ribosome. To accomplish this part of the tmRNA is used as a reading frame that ends in a translation stop signal. Lineage: Bacteria; Pseudomonadati; Pseudomonadota; Gammaproteobacteria. RNAcentral also lists the same sequence under 1 other name. The record is from RNAcentral.
GGGGGUGACUUGGCUUCGACGCUGGUUGCGAAACCUAAGGUGCAUGCCGAGAGGGUAGUGACUCUCGUUAAACAAUCGCUGUAACUUGUUAUAGUUGCCAAUGACGAAAACUACGCGCUAGCUGCCUAAAAAACCUAACCUUCGGGUUAAUUUUUAUUUAGCUUACCUCGGGGCGGAUGUGCCCAUGUAUUCAAACCGAGGGCUCGACUCAUGGGACCGCUGUCAGACCCCGCUUGCGGUUAAAGCAGUUAAACUUAAAGCAAGCUCGCCGUUUAAUCCCUGUUUGCCGGGCUAGUGAACGGUUAAAUAAUAGACAGACUAUGCAUGUAGAGCCGAAGGUAGAGAACUGACGGACGCGGGUUCAACUCCCGCCACCUCCACCA